This is a long non-coding RNA of Cryptotermes secundus, 301 nucleotides long. RefSeq lists it as uncharacterized. The transcript is spliced from 3 exons. The record is from RefSeq and is a predicted model, not a curated record. NCBI's taxonomy places the organism in Eukaryota, Metazoa, Arthropoda, Insecta, Blattodea, Kalotermitidae.
UUCACACACUUCUUCCUGAAACUAAUGUGUACAUUCCUUGUUUCAGAAAACAAGGGGGUGGAAGAAUUGAAAUACUUUGUACAGAAAGAAAUUGAAAAUUAUUGAAGACUGAAAUAUAGUUUCAAGUAUAUGGAACCAGCUGGGAGUCAGGAUGGAACUGAAGCUGCUGCAGGCAGUAGUCCUACCUUUCAUCCAAGCCAAGGAAACUGUGACAGAUACCAUGCAUACCAGAGAGGCUCAGGAUUGUCACAGCAGUCUAGAUGGUGGCGGCAGAACCAGAGUCAGACACAGACUUAAUGCC